CAAUAGCGUAUAUUUAAGUUGUUGCAGUUAAAAAGCUCGUAGUCGGAUUUUGGCUGAGGACGAUCGGUCCGCCGUUAGGUGUGCACUGAUUGGUCUCAGCUUCCUGGUGAGGAGGUGUGCUUCACGGCCACUUAGUCACCGUGGUUACUUUGAAAAAAUUAGAGUGUUCAAAGCGGGCUUACGCUUGAAUAUAUUAGCAUGGAAUAACACCAUAGGACUCCUGUCCUAUUUCGUUGGUCUCGGGACGGGAGUAAUGAUUAAGAGGAACAGUUGGGGGCAUUCGUAUUUCAUUGUCAGAGGUGAAAUUCUUGGAUUUAUGAAAGACGAACUUCUGCGAAAGCAUGUGCCAAGGAUGUUUUCAUUGA
This 365-nucleotide ribosomal RNA is filed under the name uncultured eukaryote. RNAcentral's name for it is "partial 18S ribosomal RNA". It matches the Rfam family "Eukaryotic small subunit ribosomal RNA", at positions 592 to 976 of the family's 1831-position model. The record is from RNAcentral.